RNAcentral lists this ribosomal RNA (378 nucleotides) under uncultured organism. RNAcentral describes it as "bacterial SSU rRNA". It matches the Rfam family "Bacterial small subunit ribosomal RNA", at positions 526 to 897 of the family's 1533-position model. The record is from RNAcentral.
CGUAGGGACCAAGCGUUGUUCGGAUUUACUGGGCGUAAAGGGCGCGUAGGCGGCGUGACAAGUCACUUGUGAAAUCUCUGAGCUUAACUCAGAACGGCCAAGUGAAACUGUUGUGCUAGAGUGCAGAAGGGGCAAUCGGAAUUCUUGGUGUAGCGGUGAAAUGCGUAGAUAUCAAGAGGAACACCUGAGGUGAAGACGGGUUGCUGGGCUGACACUGACGCUGAGGCGCGAAAGCCAGGGGAGCAAACGGGAUUAGACUACCCCGGUAGUCCUGGCCCUAAACGAUGAAUACUUGGUGUCUGGAGUUAUUAGUGCGUCCGGGUGCCGUCGCUUAACGUUUUUAGUAUUCCGCCGUGGGGAGUACGCUCGCAAGAGUAG